CCUACGGGGGGCAGCAGUGAGGAAUAUUGGUCAAUGGCCUGACGGCUGAACCAGCCAAGUCGCGUGAGGGAGGACGGCGCAGAGCGUCGCAGACCUCUUUUGCCGGGGGACAAAAGGCCGGACGGGUCCGGUUCUGAGGGUUCCCGGAGAAAAAGCAUCGGCGAACCUCGUGCCAGCAGCCGCGGUAAGACGGAGGAUGCGAGCGUUAUCCGGAUUCAUUGGGUUUAAAGGGUGCGCAGGCGGGCCUUUAAGCCGGCGGUAAAAUCGCGGGGCUCAACCCCGCCGAGCCGUGGGAACUGGGGGCCUUGAGUGCGGCGGAGGCAUGCGGAAUGCGCGGUGUAGCGGUGAAAUGCAUAGAUAUCGCGCAGAACCCCGAUUGCGAAGGCAGCGUGCCGUGCCGCCACUGACGCUGAGGCACGAAAGCGCGGGGAUCGAACAGGAUUAGAUACCCUUGUAGUC
RNAcentral lists this ribosomal RNA (459 nucleotides) under uncultured bacterium. Its description in RNAcentral is "partial 16S ribosomal RNA". It matches the Rfam family "Bacterial small subunit ribosomal RNA", at positions 338 to 795 of the family's 1533-position model. The record is from RNAcentral.